Molecule: ribosomal RNA, 83 nt
Filed under: Pantoea latae
Lineage: Bacteria; Pseudomonadati; Pseudomonadota; Gammaproteobacteria; Enterobacterales; Erwiniaceae
Source: RNAcentral
CCUGGCGGCACUAGCGCGGCGGUCCCACCUGACCCCAUGCCGAACUCAGAAGUGAAACGCCGUAGCGCCGAUGGUAGUGUGGG